RNAcentral lists this ribosomal RNA (757 nucleotides) under uncultured bacterium. RNAcentral describes it as "bacterial SSU rRNA". It matches the Rfam family "Bacterial small subunit ribosomal RNA", at positions 8 to 796 of the family's 1533-position model. The record is from RNAcentral.
AGAGUUUGAUCAUGGCUCAGGGUAAACGCUGGCGGCGUGCCUAAAACAUGCAAGUCGCACGGCAUCUUCGGAUGCAGUGGCAGACGGCUGAGUAACGCGUGGGUGACAUACCCAUUGGUGGGGAAUAACUGCCCGAAAGGGUGGCUAAUACCGCAUACGGCUGGAGCUUCGUGGCUCUAGAGAAAGCAGUGAUGCGCCGAUGGAGUGGCCCGCGUCCGAUUAGCCAGUUGGUGGGGUAACGGCCUACCAAAGCGACGAUCGGUAGCUGGUCUCAGAGGAUGAUCAGCCAGACUGGGACUGAGACACGGCCCAGACUCCUACGGGAGGCAGCAGUUAGGAAUUUUGGGCAAUGGGCGCAAGCCUGACCCAGCAACGCCGCGUGGGUGACGAAGGCCUUCGGGUUGUAAAGCCCUUUUCUCAGGGAAGAUGAUGACGGUACCUGAGGAAGAAGCACCGGCUAACUACGUGCCAGCAGCCGCGGUAAUACGUAGGGUGCGAGCGUUGCCCGGAUUUAUUGGGCGUAAAGGGCGCGUAGGCGGCUCGACACGUCCGUUGUGAAAUCGCCCGGCUCAACUGGGCGGGGUCAGCGGAUACGGUCGAGCUUGAGCAAGCUAGGGGGCAAUGGAAUUCCCGGUGUAGUGGUGGAAUGCGUAGAUAUCGGGAGGAACACCAGUGGCGAAGGCGGUUGCCUGGGGCUUUGCUGACGCUGAGGCGCGAAAGCGUGGGGAGCGAUCCGGAUUAGAUACCCCUGUAGUCC